CUACGGGCCGCAGCAGUAAGGAAUAUUGCGCAAUGGAGGCAACUCUGACGCAGCCAUGCCGCGUGCAGGACUGAAGGCCUUAUGGGUCGUAAACUGCUUUUAUUUAGGAAUAAACUUUCGUACGUGUACGAGACUGAAGGUACUAAAUGAAUAAGCACCGGCUAACUCCGUGCCAGCAGCCGCGGUAAUACGGAGGGUGCAGGCGUUAUCCGGAUUUAUUGGGUUUAAAGGGUGCGCAGGCGGACUAUUAAGUCAGAGGUGAAAUCCCGGAGCUCAACUUCGGAACUGCCUUUGAUACUGGUAGUCUUGAAUACGGUUGAAGUAGGCGGAAUGUAGCAUGUAGCGGUGAAAUGCAUAGAGAUGCUACAGAACACCGAUCGCGAAGGCAGCUUACUAAGCCGAUAUUGACGCUCAGGCACGAAAGCGUGGGGAGCGAACAGGAUUAGAUACCCCGGUAGUC
This 460-nucleotide ribosomal RNA is filed under the name uncultured bacterium. RNAcentral describes it as "partial 16S ribosomal RNA". It matches the Rfam family "Bacterial small subunit ribosomal RNA", at positions 339 to 795 of the family's 1533-position model. The record is from RNAcentral.